ACGAAUUCGGAAAAGAAGAGAAAAUGUAAUCGAAUGUUGAGAAAAUGAGAGCCAAAACCUGAAAGUGUUGAGAGGGAGAGAAAAUGUAGUAAUCAACCAUAAGGGGAAAAAUCGAUUGGAAAAGGGAAUUAAACAAAAAUAUUCAGUCAAGUAGAAAACAAACAAAAAGGGUAAAAAAUAAUACCCAAGAGGGUCUAUAGCCUAUUUGGCCUCCCCAAAACCAAAAAGAAAAAAAAAGUAACAAAAAUAUGACUAAAAACAAGUUCCCUUGCACAAACCAACCCAAUUCCGAAAGAAAAAACACCCCGAAAACUGAAUUCAAGAGUGCCUAAAGUCCCUAUACGGCACAACUCUCCCUUUCCCCUCUCAUAGCCUUGAUUUCCGCCUAUAAUUUCUCCACAACAACAGCCAA
This 412-nucleotide long non-coding RNA is filed under the name Gossypium raimondii (Peruvian cotton). Its description in RNAcentral is "long non-coding RNA (GRAI_LNC001354)". Lineage: Eukaryota; Viridiplantae; Streptophyta; Magnoliopsida; Malvales; Malvaceae. The record is from RNAcentral.